UUAAGCGACUAAGCGUACACGGUGGAUGCCCUGGCAGUCAGAGGCGAUGAAGGACGUGCUAAUCUGCGAAAAGCGUCGGUAAGGUGAUAUGAACCGUUACAGCCGGCGAUGUCCGAAUGGGGAAACCCAGUGCAAUUCGUUGCACUAUCGUUAACUGAAUACAUAGGUUAACGAGGCGAACCGGGGGAACUGAAACAUCUAAGUACCCCGAGGAAAAGAAAUCAACCGAGAUUCCCCCAGUAGCGGCGAGCGAACGGGGAGCAGCCCAGAGUCUGAAUCAGCUUGUGUGUUAGUGGAACGGUCUGGAAAGUCCGACGGUACAGGGUGAUAGUCCCGUACACCAAAAUGCACAGGCUGUGAACUCGAAGAGUAGGGCGGGACACGUGGUAUCCUGUCUGAAUAUGGGGGGACCAUCCUCCAAGGCUAAAUACUCCUGACUGACCGAUAGUGAACCAGUACCGUGAGGGAAAGGCGAAAAGAACCCCGGCGAGGGGAGUGAAAAAGAACCUGAAACCGUGUACGUACAAGCAGUGGGAGCACCUUCGGGUGUGACUGCGUACCUUUUGUAUAAUGGGUCAGCGACUUAUAUUCUGUAGCAAGGUUAACCGUAUAGGGGAGCCGCAGGGAAACCGAGUCUUAACUGGGCGUUAAGUUGCAGGGUAUAGACCCGAAACCCGGUGAUCUAGCCAUGGGCAGGUUGAAGGUUGGGUAACACUAACUGGAGGACCGAACCGACUAAUGUUGAAAAAUUAGCGGAUGACUUGUGGCUGGGGGUGAAAGGCCAAUCAAACCGGGAGAUAGCUGGUUCUCCCCGAAAGCUAUUUAGGUAGCGCCUCGUGAAUUCAUCUUCGGGGGUAGAGCACUGUUUCGGCUAGGGGGUCAUCCCGACUUACCAACCCGAUGCAAACUACGAAUACCGAAGAAUGUUAUCACGGGAGACACACGGCGGGUGCUAACGUCCGUCGUGAAGAGGGAAACAACCCAGACCGCCAGCUAAGGUCCCAAAGUCAUGGUUAAGUGGGAAACGAUGUGGGAAGGCACAGACAGCCAGGAUGUUGGCUUAGAAGCAGCCAUCAUUUAAAGAAAGCGUAAUAGCUCACUGGUCGAGUCGGCCUGCGCGGAAGAUGUAACGGGGCUAAACCAUGCACCGAAGCUGCGGCAGCGACACUAUGUGUUGUUGGGUAGGGGAGCGUUCUGUAAGCCUGCGAAGGUGUGCUGUGAGGCAUGCUGGAGGUAUCAGAAGUGCGAAUGCUGACAUAAGUAACGAUAAAGCGGGUGAAAAGCCCGCUCGCCGGAAGACCAAGGGUUCCUGUCCAACGUUAAUCGGGGCAGGGUGAGUCGACCCCUAAGGCGAGGCCGAAAGGCGUAGUCGAUGGGAAACAGGUUAAUAUUCCUGUACUUGGUGUUACUGCGAAGGGGGGACGGAGAAGGCUAUGUUAGCCGGGCGACGGUUGUCCCGGUUUAAGCAUGUAGGCUGAUUGUCCAGGCAAAUCCGGAUAAUCAAGGCUGAGGUGUGAUGACGAGGCACUACGGUGCUGAAGUAACAAAUGCCCUGCUUCCAGGAAAAGCCUCUAAGCAUCAGGUAACAUCAAAUCGUACCCCAAACCGACACAGGUGGUCAGGUAGAGAAUACCAAGGCGCUUGAGAGAACUCGGGUGAAGGAACUAGGCAAAAUGGUGCCGUAACUUCGGGAGAAGGCACGCUGGUGUGUAGGUGAAGUCCCUGCGGAUGGAGCUGAGACCAGUCGAAGAUACCAGCUGGCUGCAACUGUUUAUUAAAAACACAGCACUGUGCAAACACGAAAGUGGACGUAUACGGUGUGACGCCUGCCCGGUGCCGGAAGGUUAAUUGAUGGGGUUAUCCGUAAGGAGAAGCUCUUGAUCGAAGCCCCGGUAAACGGCGGCCGUAACUAUAACGGUCCUAAGGUAGCGAAAUUCCUUGUCGGGUAAGUUCCGACCUGCACGAAUGGCGUAAUGAUGGCCAGGCUGUCUCCACCCGAGACUCAGUGAAAUUGAACUCGCUGUGAAGAUGCAGUGUACCCGCGGCAAGACGGAAAGACCCCGUGAACCUUUACUAUAGCUUGACACUGAACAUUGAGCCUUGAUGUGUAGGAUAGGUGGGAGGCUUUGAAGCGUGGACGCCAGUCUGCGUGGAGCCAACCUUGAAAUACCACCCUUUAAUGUUUGAUGUUCUAACGUUGGCCCCUGACCGGGGUUGCGGACAGUGUCUGGUGGGUAGUUUGACUGGGGCGGUCUCCUCCCAAAGCGUAACGGAGGAGCACGAAGGUUAGCUAAUCCUGGUCGGACAUCAGGAGGUUAGUGCAAUGGCAUAAGCUAGCUUGACUGCGAGCGUGACGGCGCGAGCAGGUGCGAAAGCAGGUCAUAGUGAUCCGGUGGUUCUGAAUGGAAGGGCCAUCGCUCAACGGAUAAAAGGUACUCCGGGGAUAACAGGCUGAUACCGCCCAAGAGUUCAUAUCGACGGCGGUGUUUGGCACCUCGAUGUCGGCUCAUCACAUCCUGGGGCUGAAGUAGGUCCCAAGGGUAUGGCUGUUCGCCAUUUAAAGUGGUACGCGAGCUGGGUUUAGAACGUCGUGAGACAGUUCGGUCCCUAUCUGCCGUGGGCGCUGGAGAAUUGAGGGGGGCUGCUCCUAGUACGAGAGGACCGGAGUGGACGCAUCACUGGUGUUCGGGUUGUCAUGCCAAUGGCACUGCCCGGUAGCUAAAUGCGGAAGAGAUAAGUGCUGAAAGCAUCUAAGCACGAAACUUGCCCCGAGAUGAGUUCUCCCUGAGACUUUAAGUCUCCUGAAGGAACGUUAAAGACGAUGACGUUGAUAGGCCGGGUGUGUAAGCGCAGCGAUGCGUUGAGCUAACCGGUACUAAUGAACCGUGAGGCUUAACCUU
RNAcentral lists this ribosomal RNA (2900 nucleotides) under Klebsiella aerogenes. Its description in RNAcentral is "23S ribosomal RNA". It matches the Rfam family "Bacterial large subunit ribosomal RNA". Lineage: Bacteria; Pseudomonadati; Pseudomonadota; Gammaproteobacteria; Enterobacterales; Enterobacteriaceae. The record is from RNAcentral.